GGCUGGUAAUUGUGACAUGGAACAUCCCCUGUCUGGUGAGAAAGGCACCACAUCUACUGGCUGAGGCUGAGAGAUCCUGGCUGGAUAAAGUUCACUUUAACACACAGCUUGAGCUCUUGAACCAGUCUCUAGGAAAGGGCUGGACUCUGUUCCAAUCUGGAGUUGCCCUUUGUGAGAGGCGGCAGGCAACAGAUGACAGCUUUCCAGCUUUCCCAGCUUUCUUGAAUUUACUGGGUGAGGUGAGGUGAUCUUUUUACAAGAAGACUUAAACUCUCACGUGAGCAAUUAAGAAAACCUGGAGGGGUGUGAUUAAAAGAAACAGACUCCCUGAUCUAAACCUGAGCAGUGUGCUGUUAUUGGACUUCUGUGCAAUAUAUAAAAAUAGCUGAAACCACACUUUUUCUAUGACAGAUUUCAUGCUCAAACAUAAGAGUGUCCACAAGUGCAUGUGGAACGAGUACAACCUAGGCUGCAAGUCGACCUGAAUUUACAAAGCACUGGAAUACAAGGUCAAACUCCACCCCUCCUUUGAAAAUCCUGUGGCAAGAAGGGACUCCUAUUGUGUGCAUAAUAUUUUUAAAGCUGAAAAUAUUUCCUGUCAAGGUUCUUUUUGGACAAGCCAAAGCAAAGAUGUGGAGCCUUCAAAACCUGCUUUUCAUCCUCUGCAUUUCUCUGAGAUGUGUGACCAGUGCAGUAGGGGUGCUCAAUGUCACUGGAUAUCUGAGAAGAGAGGUUAACAUUUCCUGCCCUUACGAUCCGGGUUAUGAAUCUAAUGAGAAGUACCUCUGUAAGGACAGUUGUGGCAGGGCUGAUGUUCUUAUUACAACAACAAACCCAGUGAAAUAUAAAUACAUGAUCCAUGAUGACAAAACAGCACGAAUCUUUACAACAACCAUCUCUGAUCUUCGUUCUGUGGAUGCUGGGAAAUACUGGUGUGGGGUGACCAGAACUGGAAACGAAACAUAGGCCUUCUUGUAAUCAAUCCAGGCAGUGCACAGGUUGGUAAGCCUGGUCUUGCAGUCUCGGCUGACUGUUCUGUCUACCAGUAGCUGGUGUUUU
This is a long non-coding RNA of Oreochromis niloticus (Nile tilapia), 1059 nucleotides long. RefSeq lists it as uncharacterized. The record is from RefSeq and is a predicted model, not a curated record. Lineage: Eukaryota; Metazoa; Chordata; Actinopteri; Cichliformes; Cichlidae. The transcript is spliced from 3 exons.